UACCUUCAAACCUUCCCCAGAAUGAGCGAUUGUGAGACCUCACAGACCAACUGAAGCCGCUCACGUUAACCUCGUAUCAUUGACGCCGGUACAUCGUCGAUGAUAGAGAAGAAUCACCUUCAAUCGGUAAUGCGUGGUCGACGUAGAACAAGAAUCAGCCUCAAUCGAAGAUCCACCGUCGGCGAAAAGCGAGAGUCAACCUUCAAUCGGAAAUGCGUUGUUGAUGAAAAUUGAUCGUUGACGAUGAUUGGGGUGGAGCGAUGCGUCGCCGCUUGAAGUGGAACGUAGAACGACGAUGCUCGAGUUGAAAGAUGAAGAACGGAAGCGAACCAAAUCUGAAAAGGUAUCGUCGAGUUUUUUCGCUUCUCUCUUAUGCUUCUGUUACUUCUUUUUUUUCCAACUCAAUCUCUCUUCUUCUCCUUUGAUUACUGGUCGAUUCGUGGAUCAUCGGUGAAGGAUUACCGAGCGUCUCCGUUUCUGGUAUUGUUGUUGUUGUGUUCUUUAGGUUUUUUUGAAAAAAAAAUCUCUGCUGUUCUUGAUGUAUUGUGUUCUGGUUUAGGGGUUUGAGAGAAAUUGUUAUGUUGUUCUUGAUUAGGUUUUUUUUGAGAAAAAAUAUCGUUACCGUAAUGUUGUUGUUCUUGUUGUGUUUGUUGUUGUUUUUUGAGAAGAAUUCUUACUGUAUUGUUUUCCUGUUAACCUCUCCUAAUCCAUUUUUGAAGACAAGAUUCAGACUUUAAAAAAAAAAAACUCCUUUCUUUUUCAAUUUGUCUCAUCCCAGAUUACGUGGGAUUUGGUUUUUUCUGUUUUAAGCUAAUGUUAAAAGUGUUUUUUGGAUAUUUAGAUUAACCUUAAGGAUAAAGCUUCAAACUGAAUGAUUCAUUUAGUUGUUUUUCAGCUUUCUAAGUGCUUUUGAAAAGUGCUUUUAAAAUAAGCUAUUUUUGUUUUCUGCAGAUUACAGGUUUGAAGAGACUUGAUGUAAAUUUUGAAAAGUGCUUUUAAAAUAAGCUAUUUUUGUUUUCUGCAGAUUACAGGUUUGAAGAGACUUGAUGUAAUGGAAGGUGGCUGCUACAAGCUUCAAGACAACCUGUUUUCGUGACUAAGUCCAAAUUGAUUUCAUCCUAAUUGCUUGAUUUUGGUCAUUAGGAACCUAUUCCCAUUUGUAGCAAAUUUCACUGUAAUUACAUUUGGUUUUUUUUUUAAGACAAAUGUGUGCUUGGAUUAUGUAACUUAUUGAAUUAAAAGUCUAAUAACCAUUAAUAAUUAUGUAUUCAACCUUUUAAUCUUUCAAAAUUUAACUUAAUAUUUAUUUAUG
Molecule: long non-coding RNA, 1312 nt
Filed under: Lathyrus oleraceus (garden pea)
Lineage: Eukaryota; Viridiplantae; Streptophyta; Magnoliopsida; Fabales; Fabaceae
Description: Pisum sativum (pea) long non-coding RNA (PSAT_LNC010277)
Source: RNAcentral